Molecule: transfer RNA, 65 nt
Filed under: Dipodomys ordii (Ord's kangaroo rat)
Lineage: Eukaryota; Metazoa; Chordata; Mammalia; Rodentia; Heteromyidae
Rfam family: tRNA
About the family: Transfer RNA (tRNA) molecules are approximately 80 nucleotides in length.
Source: Rfam by way of RNAcentral
GGUGGCUUAAUGGUAGAGUGCUUGCCUUGUAUGCAUGAGUCCCUGGGUUUGAUUCCUCAGCACCA